GUUCUUAAUUCUCAAAUUGGACACGCCUUACUGCCCCUACUCAACUUUGGGGGUCAAUGCUCCAAACCAAUCCCGCCCGCGCCCUAAAACAGUCAUGUACCUCCACACCAACUAGGGUUUUCUGCUUAUGGUGAUUCAUGUCAGAAUUUGUGCUGUUUCAGUGACUAGUCAGCUUUUUUCGGUGUUUUUCGCCCAUUGUUAACUGGUGCAUCGAAAAUCACUAGGAAGUGUCAAUCCUGAAAAUACAUGGGGAUGACUACGAACAUCAAUGUGAUGAUCACAGAAGGUCUCCAACAUCACCGUAAUAUGUUUUCAAUACCUGUAAGUAGGCGGUGGAUACUGGAAAUCUUAUAUUUAGUUGGAUGAGGUUACGAUUGCUUCCAAAGUGCAGCCUCCACCUCAUGACCAUGCUUUGCCCUGAAAUUCCC
Molecule: long non-coding RNA, 428 nt
Organism: Salvia miltiorrhiza (redroot sage)
Lineage: Eukaryota; Viridiplantae; Streptophyta; Magnoliopsida; Lamiales; Lamiaceae
Exons: 2
Source: RefSeq, a predicted model, not a curated record